CUGCUGCCUCCCGUAGGAGUCUGGGCCGUGUCUCAGUCCCAAUGUGGCCGAUCAACCUCUCAGUCCGGCUACCGAUCGUCGCCUUGGUGGGCCGUUGCCCCACCAACUAGCUAAUCGGCCGCGAGCCCAUCUUCCAGCGGAUUGCUCCUUUGGCUGCAUCGGGAUGCCCCAUCGCAGCGUUAUGCGGUAUUAGCAGUCGUUUCCAACUGUUAUCCCCCUNUGAAAGGCAGGUUGCUCACGUUG
This 243-nucleotide ribosomal RNA is filed under the name uncultured bacterium. Its description in RNAcentral is "partial 16S ribosomal RNA". The record is from RNAcentral.